CUACCGCGGGGUGUGCCCACCUGCGCGCGGCCAGCGGAGGCAUAGACAGCGUUGCCAGACCUCUUUUUGCACGCUAAAUGUUAGCGGAGUACUCGUUUUUGAGGGCAACAAUGCGGAUCUCUAUGGCAACGUAAGUGAGAACGCCUCGGGCGUGGCGUUCGUCUGCUCUCAUGGCCUCCGCAUUGCUCGCCGAGCAGGAAAUAUGUCCACUUGGGGCGAGCGAAGACGACGACGAUUUAGGGCAUCUACUGAUUGCAGAACAAGAUUUGUUUCGAUCACUUUCGCCAGUGAAAUUAUGUGAUCAGGCUCCUCUGCAUAGUGCUGGCACAGUGGUAGCUUGUCACCGUGUGUUAGGAUGAAGUGAUUAAACGAUUUCAAAACGAUCACCCGCACUACAAGCUUCACAGACCUCAAUUUCUCUAGACGAAAGGUCUGCUCAGCGCAACACAGCAGACGUGUAACAAAGGAGGAUGGUUUAACCAGCCCUCCAUUGUCCCUGAGCAUGAUGAGAACACUUGAUGUCUCGUCAUCUAGGAGUGUGUCCAAACAACCAUUACAGGUGAGUUUUGAGGAGACAAUUCUAACAACAUAUCCUCCAAUAUAGGCAACAAUGUCCUCGCUGAACCUGCUGAGUCUGGAUGAUUCCCCGUAGUCAUGGUCAGCACACUGUAGAAGGGCACAGAUGUUGUCCUCUGCAGGAACUUCUGCAGUGGGAGUCUCCUCACCUGCACUUUCCUCCCUUCGCGGCUUGCCCUGGUGACCGAGUGUCUCUAUGCCUUCCACUGUAGGAGCGACAUUCGCAGAGCUUGGGGCCUGAACUUCAGCAUGUAUCAGAAGCUUCCUGUAGGCAUGACGGAAUUGGGAAGCUGAUGGGUUGUUAUUCCAUCCUCCUCUUUGCCUGAUGCAGCUGAAGAACAGUUCCAAGUGGUCCUGGCUGAGGCGACCUCUACAUGUUACCUGCAUGCGCCCGCCUGGAACAGCGCUUCUGCCAGCUGUGCAACACUUUUCAGCGUAAAGGCCAUGCUGAUGACUGACAUGCGUCUCCCAUGCUGAGCAGCUAGCUCCCCGGAUGGAAGUCGCAGUGUCAUCAUUCUUGACGACAAUCUUUAGUGGCCACAGUCAUGAAAAUGAAAGGCCUACUCAUCUACGUCGGCAAUGAACGAAGCGGUUGCGUCACUUCCUUCAAAUUCGGUCAAUCCCAGGAGCCGUGCGUGGGUCAGGGCUUUGCUCACGGAUGAACUUAGAGUCUGCGCUGCAAGGCGGACCUUCAUGAUCUGGCGGCCAAACUCAAUAUGGGAUCUGGGUCAGUUGCAGCCGUCGACGGACACCACGCAGGUACUGGUUCUUCUCUCGAAGUUGUCUCAUUCCUGUUCUUGGCGUUGUUUUGCUGUGAUAGGUGUGCUCCUUGUGACCCUUGGGUGUGAUCGGGCUGCCCUCAGUAUCUGUGUUGCUCACAGACACCUGCAAAGUUGCCUGUUGGUUAAGGACAGCAUUCCCCAAUAUUUUGCAUUUUAAAAUUACCGGUUGUCGUGUAGGCGUGGUUUCAUUGCAUGUUUCCGGUUGUUGCUGCCCUGCUCUGGGGUCAGGGGACAAAACAUCUACAGAAAUGUCCUCAAGUCGUUGUGUUUUGGGAUCUGGGCUUUCCUGCUGACACUCCUGAAAUGGUAGUAGGAACUGUCGCUGCUCACAGGAAUUGGAAUGCAUUGUUUCGCAGUGGGCUAUAGUCACAAAAGCAAUUUGUCUGUGUUUUCAUGUUUUUCAGCAGCAGAAGAACCUGACAGCAGCAAGCAGCAGGAAUAAGAAAUGACAUACAGACAUAUACUCACUGCUUUCCGCUUUUGUGGCAGCUUACAGUAGGGAUGGUCCUCAUGGUCAAACAGGCAGUGGAACAGCUGAAGAAGGGACGGCGGGCUCUGCUUGCUCAGCACUGGCUUCAAGCAUUUCCUGGAAAACAUGGAGUGAAGGCAGUCAUACAGGGGGGUGGCUGCACAAACUACUAUGUACUUACCAGGGAAACUGUGUCAGCACCACUUUCAUCUCUUUCAUCUGGCUGGCUGGCUGUUACUUGACUCUAAAAAAGUUCUUCCAUUAUUAUCUCCUUUUGUAUCAUUUUAAAAGUAAUAAAGAAUAACCGGAUACCUCA
Molecule: RNA transcript, 2143 nt
Organism: Ornithodoros turicata
Lineage: Eukaryota; Metazoa; Arthropoda; Arachnida; Ixodida; Argasidae
Exons: 7
Source: RefSeq, a predicted model, not a curated record